This is a long non-coding RNA of Bombina bombina (fire-bellied toad), 402 nucleotides long. RefSeq lists it as uncharacterized. The record is from RefSeq and is a predicted model, not a curated record. The transcript has 3 exons. NCBI's taxonomy places the organism in Eukaryota, Metazoa, Chordata, Amphibia, Anura, Bombinatoridae.
CUAAGAUAUUGUGAAUUUAGAAACAUCAAAUUUGAGUUGCAUUGUAGUAUACUAUUUAUUUAAAAAAUCGAAAUAUAAAUGUACAAUUUCUUUCAUUUUACAGUCAAAAACCGAAGAGCGCCACGUUAUCUGUGCCCAAUAACCAACAAUCCAUGCACUCCAGAAGCAGAUUCCGACCCAGUACCCACUGUGUUUAUGGACUCUGAGGGUAUUAUUCCAGCAGGAAAAUAAAUUCUCAGACGACCACGUUGCAGAAGGCCAAUGCCCAUUAUUGAUGAUGAUACUGAUAAUGGAGACAUGAUUGAAGAAGAUCAUCUACAUAUCGAAACAGCCAGCAAUGAAAUACCUGAUGAGGAAGCACCAAAUAAUAAUGUGAUAGAAGAUUCGAUAUCUAAUAGUGAC